This 498-nucleotide ribosomal RNA is filed under the name uncultured bacterium. RNAcentral's name for it is "partial 16S ribosomal RNA". It matches the Rfam family "Bacterial small subunit ribosomal RNA", at positions 29 to 523 of the family's 1533-position model. The record is from RNAcentral.
AUUGAACGCUGGCGGCAUGCUUUACACAUGCAAGUCGAACGGUAACAGGCCGCAAGGUGCUGACAAGUGGCGAACGGGUGAGUAAUGCAUCGGAACGUGCCCAGUCGUGGGGGAUAACGCAGCGAAAGCUGUGCUAAUACCGCAUACGAUCUAUGGAUGAAAGCGGGGGACCGUAAGGCCUCGCGCGAUUGGAGCGGCCGAUGGCAGAUUAGCUAGUUGGUGGGGUAAAGGCCCACCAAGGCGACGAUCUGUAGCUGGUCUGAGAGGACGACCAGCCACACUGGGACUGAGACACGGCCCAGACUCCUACGGGAGGCAGCAGUGGGGAAUUUUGGACAAUGGGCGCAAGCCUGAUCCAGCAAUGCCGCGUGCAGGAAGAAGGCCUUCGGGUUGUAAACUGCUUUUGUACGGAACGAAACGGCCUGGGUUAAUACCCUGGGCUAAUGACGGUACCGUAAGAAUAAGCACCGGCUAACUACGUGCCAGCCGCCGCCGUAA